RNAcentral lists this ribosomal RNA (439 nucleotides) under uncultured bacterium. RNAcentral describes it as "bacterial SSU rRNA". It matches the Rfam family "Bacterial small subunit ribosomal RNA", at positions 954 to 1392 of the family's 1533-position model. The record is from RNAcentral.
GCUUAACGCGAAGAACCUUACCAGGUCUUGACAUCCUCUGCCAACCCUAGAGAUAGGGCGUUCCCCUUCGGGGGACAGAGUGACAGGUGGUGCAUGGUUGUCGUCAGCUCGUGUCGUGAGAUGUUGGGUUAAGUCCCGCAACGAGCGCAACCCUUGAUCUUAGUUGCCAGCAUUCAGUUGGGCACUCUAAGGUGACUGCCGGUGACAAACCGGAGGAAGGUGGGGAUGACGUCAAAUCAUCAUGCCCCUUAUGACCUGGGCUGCACACGUGCUACAAUGGAUGGUACAAAGAGCUGCGAACCCGCGAGGGUAAGCGAAUCUCAUAAAGCCAUUCUCAGUUCGGAUUGUAGGCUGCAGCUCGCCUACAUGAAGCCGGAAUCGCUAGUAAUCGCGAAUCAGAAUGUCGCGGUGAAUACGUUCCCGGGUCUUGUACACACCG